RNAcentral lists this transfer RNA (65 nucleotides) under Halyomorpha halys (brown marmorated stink bug). Its description in RNAcentral is "tRNA-Thr". It matches the Rfam family "tRNA". From Rfam's summary of the family: Transfer RNA (tRNA) molecules are approximately 80 nucleotides in length. Their secondary structure includes four short double-helical elements and three loops (D, anti-codon, and T loops). The record is from RNAcentral. Lineage: Eukaryota; Metazoa; Arthropoda; Insecta; Hemiptera; Pentatomidae.
GUUUUAAUAGUUUAAUAUAAAACAAUGAUUUUGUAAAUCAUAAAUAGGGUUUAACCUUUAAAACU